Humulus lupulus (European hop) is the source of this 535-nucleotide long non-coding RNA. RefSeq lists it as uncharacterized. Lineage: Eukaryota; Viridiplantae; Streptophyta; Magnoliopsida; Rosales; Cannabaceae. The transcript has 3 exons. The record is from RefSeq and is a predicted model, not a curated record.
UCUUUUUGAACCAUACAUAUGUUUAUACAUAUAUUUGGUUGUCAAUUAUGAUUAUAACUGUAUUAAUAUGUAUAUAUUUUUAUUUGAAGAAUCAAUCAUGGUUGGGUUCCCUUAUCAACACUAUAGUUGGAAAUUUGAAACUCUCAAUUUCAAAUAUUCAUAUCAGAUACGAGGACAGUGAAAGGUGUGUAAUAGCAAGUUAAAUUUUAUAUUUUGGAAUCUUAACAUUCUUAUUUUCUGUCUGAAUUUUAAUUUCCUAUUCUCUAGCAAUCCUGGUCACCCAUUUGCAGCAGGUGUGACCUUGGAGAAACUCUUAGCUUCCUUCUGAGUGGGUCCAGGUUUUUAGAUAUGGCACUGAAGAAGGCAAACCUGCUGAUAGAAUUGUCAAACAACACACUUAUAUUCUGGAACCAAUUACAGGAAAAUGCAAAGUAUAUUCUGGAUGAUGUCAUUCUCUGUUUAUCAAAGGAUGGAUACAAGGAUAUGUUAAAACUGGCUGAUAACUUUUCUGCCUUUAAUCAACGCUUAAAAUAUG